AUUGAACGCUGGCGGCAUGCCUUACACAUGCAAGUCGAACGGCAGCACGGGAGCAAUCCUGGUGGCGAGUGGCGAACGGGUGAGUAAAGUAUCGGAACGUGCCCAGUCGUGGGGGAUAACGUAGCGAAAGUUACGCUAAUACCGCAUACGAUCUAUGGAUGAAGGCGGGGGAUCGCAAGACCUCGCGCGAUUGGAGCGGCCGAUAUCAGAUUAGGUAGUUGGUGGGGUAAAGGCUCACCAAGCCGACGAUCUGUAGCUGGUCUGGGAGGACGACCGGCCACACUGGGAGUGAGACACGGCCCAGACUCCUACGGGAGGCAGCAGUGGGGAAUUUUAGUAAAUGGGCGCAAGCCUGAUCCAGCCAUGCCGCGUGCAGGAUGAGGGCCGUCGGGUUGUAAACUGCUUUUGUACGGAACGAAAAGGUUUGACUUAAUACGUUGGACUCAUGACGGUACCGUAAGAAUAAGCACCGGCUAACUACGUGCCAGCCGCCGCAGUAA
Molecule: ribosomal RNA, 500 nt
Filed under: uncultured bacterium
Lineage: Bacteria
Description: partial 16S ribosomal RNA
Rfam family: Bacterial small subunit ribosomal RNA
Source: RNAcentral